Molecule: ribosomal RNA, 329 nt
Filed under: uncultured cyanobacterium
Lineage: Bacteria; Bacillati; Cyanobacteriota
Description: bacterial SSU rRNA
Rfam family: Bacterial small subunit ribosomal RNA
Source: RNAcentral
GAAAGCCUGACGGAGCAAUACCGCGUGAGGGAGGAAGGCUCUUGGGUCGUAAACCUCUUUUCUCAGGGAAGAACACAAUGACGGUACCUGAGGAAUAAGCAUCGGCUAACUCCGUGCCAGCAGCCGCGGUAAUACGGAGGAUGCAAGCGUUAUCCGGAAUGAUUGGGCGUAAAGCGUCCGCAGGUGGCGAUGUAAGUCUGCUGUUAAAGAGUCUAGCUCAACUAGAUAAGAGCAGUGGAAACUACAUAGCUAGAGUACGUUCGGGGCAGAGGGAAUUCCUGGUGUAGCGGUGAAAUGCGUAGAGAUCAGGAAGAACACCAGUGGCGAAG